CAGAUGAGGAAACUGAGGCUUGGUGAAGUUACGAAACUUGUCCAAAAUCACACAACUUGUAAAGGGCACAGCCAAGAUUCAGAGCCAGGCUGUAAAAAUUAAAAUGAACAAACUACGGCAAAGUUUUAGGAGAAAGAAGGAUGUUUAUGUUCCAGAGGCCAGUCGUCCACAUCAGUGGCAGACAGAUGAAGAAGGCGUUCGCACUGGAAAAUGUAGCUUCCCG
Molecule: long non-coding RNA, 223 nt
Filed under: Pan troglodytes (chimpanzee)
Lineage: Eukaryota; Metazoa; Chordata; Mammalia; Primates; Hominidae
Description: long non-coding RNA NONPTRT005126
Source: RNAcentral